CGCGGUUACACUUUUUAUCUCACGUUAAUGUGUUCGUAAAUUUAAGUUAGCGUAAUAAUUGUAAAUGCCGAAACCAUUAUAUGAGUGAGGUAAAAUUCUAUUCAUUUAUUGGGAAUAUGGAGACUAUUUUAAAAUUUAACCUAAUAAGGCUGUGUGAAGAAACGGGGAUUAGAGACCCCCUUAUUCAUGCUCUCUUUAAUUUUACGGGGACUACGAGCACGUAAUGCUUAAAACCCAAUCAAGUUGGCGGUGCUUCAUAUAUAGUUAGGGGAACUUGACGGUUAAAUCGAUGAGCCUCGAAAAUCUUACCCUUAGUAUUCUUUGCAUACCGCCGUUGUAGGCAGUUCCUGACGAGUAAGAGUCUGGCGAAAUAUAGGAUAACCUUAUGGUUAUAUUUAUAGAUAUUCAGGUAAACGUGUAGGUUCUAGGGGGCUUAGUUGAGUUACAAUUUUUUAUAAAUGCGGAUAUUAAAUGAAAAAAUAAUUGAAGAUGUACUUGUUAGUAAGAUUUUAGAUAGAGGAAAUCUGAAUAGAGUUUUGAAGUGCGUACAAAUCGCCCGGCGCCCUCGGAUAAUCAAACUGAGGUAAGUCGUAAC
Molecule: ribosomal RNA, 595 nt
Filed under: Venus casina
Lineage: Eukaryota; Metazoa; Mollusca; Bivalvia; Venerida; Veneridae
Description: partial 12S ribosomal RNA
Source: RNAcentral